CCUACGGGUGGCAGCAGUGGGGAAUAUUGGGCAAUGGGCGCAAGCCUGACCCAGCAACGCCGCGUGAAGGAAGAAGGCUUUCGGGUUGUAAACUUCUUUUCUCAGGGACGAAGAAAGUGACGGUACCUGAGGAAUAAGCCACGGCUAACUACGUGCCAGCAGCCGCGGUAAUACGUAGGUGGCAAGCGUUAUCCGGAUUUACUGGGUGUAAAGGGCGUGUAGGCGGGAAAGCAAGUCAGAUGUGAAAACCAUGUGCUAAACCUGUGGCCUGCAUUUGAAACGGUUUUUCUUGAGUACUGGGGAGGCAGACGGAAGUCGUGGGGUAGCGGUGAAAUGAGUAGAGAUGAGGAGGA
This 353-nucleotide ribosomal RNA is filed under the name uncultured bacterium. Its description in RNAcentral is "partial 16S ribosomal RNA". It matches the Rfam family "Bacterial small subunit ribosomal RNA", at positions 338 to 705 of the family's 1533-position model. The record is from RNAcentral.